UCUCCGCCAUGGCUGCAGACCUCUCUGCUCAAACCUUCCUCCUAUCCACAACCACGACCACCCCCUAACCAAUGGCGUAGCCACCCACAAGGCUAAGGUGGACUGAAGUCCAGGGAGGUUUUCUGUAAUGAUAGUGUUAUCCAUGCACUCGUUUUUACUUCUUAUACACUUCUCUUAAUUCUCGGUUGUUCAGAUCGAAUGAAUUGAAAAUGAUCACUAACAAAAUAUUAAUAAGGCUGUGUUAGAAAUAAAAAUGGGUUUGUGAAUAGAUCUAUUCUUUUGUAAACUCAUGCUUAUAACCUACUCAAUUUCAAUACAUAUUAUUAUUUAAUGUGUAUUUAGUAGAGGAGAGGUAGUAAAUCAUAGUAAAAAUUAUAAAUUAGUUCUUUCUCCGGUCCCCCUUUAUUCCAUUCUUGAAAGAAAAAGGCCAUUUACCAUAUGUAAUUUAGCCUUUGUGCUUCUUGCUCAAGAAAAUAUUAAUAAGUUCUUUAAAUACACAAUUAAAUCCCUAUCUUUGUAAUUCCUGACUUUCCGUUGCAAUUUUUCAAUGAAUGUCACAUUUGGUACGUUCUUAAUCUCCUUAUUUACUUAUUCUUGAUUUAAUUAGUAGGUUAAUUAUAGGAAUCUUGGUGGUGGAAUGAGGAGGUACAAACAAAGGUGAAGGCUAAGAAGGAAUGUUGUAAAGCCCUAUACAAGGAUAGGACUGAUGAAAAUGGUGAAAGGUAUAGAAAAGUGAAGCAAGAGGCGAAGAAAGCUGUGAGAGAAGCUAAGUUAGCGGCUUACGACAAUAUGUAUAAACGACUAGAUACCAAAGAAGGAAAGUUGGAUAUCUAUAAACUAGCUAGAGCAAGGGAAAAGAAGACAAGAGACCUAAACCAAGUGAGGUGCAUCAAGGAUGAGGAUGGAAAGGUUCUUGCUACAGAGAACGCGGUUAAAGACAGAUGGAGAGGUUAUUUUUAUAAUCUUUUCAAUGAAGGACAUGAAAGGAGUGCUUCUUUAGGGGAGUUGAGUAACUCAGAAGAGUGCAUAAACUACUCUUUUUAUCGUCGAAUCCGGAAGGAAGAAGUGGUUGUAGCUUUGAAGAAGAUGAAGCAUAGAAAAGCAAUAGGCCCAGACGAUAUACCAAUCGAAGUGUGGAAAGUUUUGGGAGAGACAGGUAUAACAUGGCUCACUAACCUUUUCAAUAGGAUUUUGAAAACGAAGAAGAUGCCAAAUGAGUGGCGAACGAGCACUUUGGUGCCUAUCUACAAGAAUAAGGGCGACGUACAAAAUUGCAUGAACUAUAGGGGUAUUAAGCUAAUGAGUCAUACAAUGAAGCUCUGGGAGAGAGUCAUUGAGCAUAGAUUGAGGCAAGAGACACGGGUUUCGGACAACCAAUUCGGGUUCAUGCCAGGGCGCUCAACCAUGGAGGCAAUUUAUCUCUUACGAAGAUUGAUGGAAAGAUAUAGAGAUGGGAAAAAGGAUUUACACAUGGUCUUUAUAGAUUUGGAAAAAACGUAUGAUAGGGCCCCAAGAGACAUUCUUUGGAGGAUUUUAGAGAAUAAAGGAGUACGAGUAGCAUAUAUCCAAGCGAUAAAGGAUAUGUAUGAAGGAGCAAAGACUGCCGUAAGAACUCAUGAAGGACAAACUGAAAGCUUUCCCAUAACUGUAGGAUUACAUCAAGGCUCAUCCUUAAGUCCUUACCUUUUUGCGUUGGUAAUGGAUGAGUUAACAUGACAUAUUCAAGAUGAUAUUCCUUGGUGUAUGCUUUUCGCAGAUGAUAUAGUGUUGAUAGAUGAAACUCAGGAAGGGGUAAAUACGAAGCUUAACCUUUGGAGAGAAGUGUUGGAAUCUAAAGGUCUUCGCCUAAGCCGAUCAAAGACAGAAUAUAUAGAGUGCAAGUUCAGUGCAAAUGGAGGCCAAAACGAGUUAGGGGUGAGGAUUGGAGAUCAAGAAAUACCAAAGAGCGACCGUUUUCGUUACCUAGGAUCUAUCUUGCAAAAGAACGGAGAAUUAGAUGGAGAUCUCAACCAUAGAAUACAAGCUGGAUGGAUGAAGUGGAAGAGUGCAUCCGGCGUGUUGUGUGACCGCCGGAUGCCACUAAAGCUCAAGGGAAAAUUUUAUAGGACGGCAAUAAGGCCGGCGAUGCUGUAUGGCACAGAAUGUUGGGCGGUGAAGCAUCAACACGUACACAAAAUGGGUGUAGCGGAGAUGAGGAUGCUUCGUUGGAUGUGUGGGCGAGAAAGGAUAAGAUUAGGAAUGAGGAUAUCCGGGGUAAAGUAGGAGUAGCCGAAAUUGAAGGAAAGAUGAGAGAAAAUCGGUUACGGUGGUUUGGACAUGUGCAAAGAAGGCCUACUGACGCUCCGAUUAGAAGAUGCGACUAUGGGACAGAGGUUCAGGGCCGAAGGGGUAGAGGAAGACCUAGGAAAACUUUAGAAGAGACUCUAAGAAAAGACUUAGAGUACUUGGAUCUAACGAAGGACAUGAUACAGGACCGAGCACAAUGGCGUUCUAAGAUUCAUAUAGCCGAUCCCACUCAGUGAACCGAGAAGUUUUCCUUACUCAGGAAAUUAAGGGAACACUACCUCAACCUACAUGCUCAACUCACAAAGCUUCAACAAAAGAAAAUUCAAAGAACUUAGCGAAGAAGGCUUUGGUGUAUUUAACACAAUACGUUGAAAUGAAGGAAAGCUUAUUUAUUGAUAUCCCCGAUAAUCUACAAAUAUGUACAUAUACAUGAGUCAAAAUAAACAAACAAGAGGGAGCCUUCACAAAGGUGGCUUAGGAGAAGUCUCAGCAGUCGGUAGAGCCCCAGAAAGAGAAGGCACCAUAGGGGGAUCAUUCGGAGCCUCAGUACUGGACAGAACCCUAGAAGGAGGAGGCAUCAGAGGUUGAUCAUUUAGAGCUUCAUUACGCGGUACAGCCCCAGAAGACGAAGGCAAUAAAUGUCUUUGGAACAAACCCAUAAAUCUCUGAUGAUCAAGUAAAACCUGACCAUCAGAUUCCUUCAUCUGGUCAAGCUUCCUCUUCAUGUUUGUAGCAUAGUCAUGUGCGAGCCGGUGCAACUGUUUAUUCUCAUGCUUGAGCCCUCUAAUCUCCUGUUUGAGACUCAUCACUUCAGCCGCCAAUGAUUCAACUUGGCGGGUUCGAGCAAAUAGGCGUUGGGCCAUAUUAGACACAGAACCUGCACACUGAACACUGAGAGCCAGAUAAUCCUUAACAGCUAACUCAUCAGACCGUUUGGAAAGUAGUCUGUUAUCUUUAGGAGUGAGAAGGUUCCUGGCCACCACCGCAGCGGUCAUAUCAUUAUUCAUCACGGAAUCCCCAACGGUAAGAGGACCAGUAGGGGAGACGAAGGAUGGGCGCCAUAUGUUGUCUGGAGAAGGCGGGGCUGCCUCUUCAACAAGGUUCAAGUCAAAACGACGGUCGGAUGGGCCAGACAUUUUCAAAGGUGUUGAAGAGAAGAGGUCGGACAAAUCAAGAUCUUAGAAAUGCAAGAAUGGAGCUUCUACUGGUGGAGAUUCAAGUGUGCUUUGGAACUUAAUGCCAGCCCCUAUAAAAAUUUGCACUCGACGGAGCUUCAGAAAUCGAAGAGGCGUCUGCUCAGAAAUCAAAGAGGCGUUUGCUUUCUCAAAAGCUGGGCUACUCAGAGACCACGAAGGUCGAUCUCAGAAAUCGAAGAGGCGUCUGCUUUCUCAAAAGCUGGGCUGCUCAAAGACCACGAAGGCCGAUCUCAGAAAUCGAAAAGGCGCUUGCUUUCUCAAAAGCUGGGCUGCUAAGAGACCACGAGGGCCGAUCUCAGAAAUCGAAGAGACACCUACUUUUUCAGCCUUGUCAGCACCUGUCACACGCACACUCAGCUUUGCGGAAAUUAUGGGCAUUCUGUCGAAGACUUCUGGUGAAGUAGAAAGCACUUGAGUCUUACUGUUCAAUCACCCAUUUCCCACACGCAACAGUAGCUCAUGGGUACCACAGAUAACUUUGCCAAAGUUCUCUGCCAAAGUUGAGCACGUGAAGCUUGCAGCUCUCACUACAUCGCUCUGACCAAGAAGGGUAAAAUAAUAGCAAAGAAACAGCACUAACAAAAUUUAGACACAUAAAUUUUGAAGGUCUAGCUACCAUAUUAUUACCCACAAGGGUAAAGGAACAGUACCACUACUGGAUAAUUGGAAAGUCCAUGUGUGUCAACCUCUGUGCUUCGUGGCAAUGUAGACUAGCAAACAUGCCCAACCUUUACUCACAUUCGAGAAAACACUCCCAACAAGAUUGCUUGCUCCAAAAUCGAAGAGGCACCGUCCUCCGAAUCUCGAGAGCCAGACUCCCAACAUGACUACUUUCUCAAAAAUCGAAGAGAGGGUAAAGGAACAGUACCAUUGCUGGAUAAUUGGAAAGCCCCGGUGUGUCAACCUCUGUGCUUCGUGGCAAAGUAGUAGACUAGCAAACAUGCCCAACCUUUACUCACAUUUGAGAAAACACUCCCAACAAGAUUGCUUGAUAAUACCUCUGCAAACAAGCUAUACUAGAGCAAGAAUAUCUCAUAUCAUCAGGGUUAAAAGCAAGAGUAUCCCAUAUCAUGCUUUUUCCCUGUCUUUUCCUUUGGCCUUGUUCUUACCUGCAAGACAAGGAAAAAGAGAGCAAUCAGUCAGCACUUGGAAUCAAGCUUCCAGCCAGGAACUGACUGCCUAGAACCCCUUACCUGAUUACUUACCUGGCAUUGCUCUCGAGUACUCAUCUUCAACUUCUUAUGCUUCCAGGGAAGAUACCACAUCUGCCUGAGGAACAGAUAGGGCAAGUGAGAAUGAUACAAGGAAGCAUGUGGAGACAAGCGUAACAGCACACGUGCCGAUACAUCCAUUACUUUGUCAAAGCAAAAGUAUCCCAUAUCAGCAGGGUCGAACGUACUCUAGAUUUGAUGGACUUGUUUUGACCCUCAAAUUCUUCAGUCGGCCUUAUACUCUGGAGGAAACUAGAAAACCCUCAAGCUCAGUUCAAGAAUAAGCCUGUGGAAAGUUACUUCUUCAAAAGCAAAAGUAUCCCAUAUCAUCUCUUCUCAUUUUUCUUCUCUUUAUCCUUCAUGCUGCUUGCAAGAUAGGGAGAAUGUGAACAAUCAGCCGGAGCUCUGAUUGCUUACCUUGUCUGUCACCUCUUUCAGCAGAUCCCCUAGCUCGGCGACUUGGGGGACUCCUACUACAUUGUUUGUAUCGCGCUUGACCAAGCCUGAAACUACAAGUAAGCUUCAAGUGAAAUUGAUACAUUACCUUGUGCAUCUCCACCAGUUAAAGAUACCACCCCUGGAUGGAGGAAGAGUACUUCCAGAGAAGAUGCCACAUCUACCUAUGAGACAGAUAAGGCAAGUCAAGACGAUACCACACUCCGAUACUUAGAAGUUUCGUGAUUACGAGAUCAUUCCCCCACAAUAUUUCCUAAUGUCAUUUGUACUAAAUCAUUCACCUGUACUCACUAAAGGAGAGCUUGAACCUAUGUACUUGUGUAAACCCUUCACAAUUAAUGAGAACUCCUCUAUUUCGUGGACGUAGCCAAUCUGGGUGAACCACGUACAUCUUGUGUUUGCUUUCCUAUCUCUAUCCAUUUAUAUACUUAUCCACACUAACGACCGGAGCAAUAUAGCGAAGAUCACAAAAAGCGACCGUUUUCGCUACCUAGGAUCUACCGUGCAAGAGAACGGAGAAUUAGAUGGAGAUCUCAACCAUAGAAUACAAGCUGGAUGGAUGAAGUGUAAGAGUGCAUUCGACGUGUUGUGUGACCGUCGUAGGUCACUGAAGCUCAAGAGAAAAUUUUAUAGGACGGCAAUAAGGCCAGCAAUGUUGUAUGGCACAGAAUGUUGGGCGGUGAAGCAUCAACACGUACACAAAAUGGGUGUGGCGGAGAUGAGGAUGCUUCGUGGGAUGUGUGGGCACACGAGAAAGGAUAAGAUUGGGAAUGAGGAUAUCCGAAGUAAAGUAGGAGUAGCCAAAAUUGAAGGAAAGAUGAGAGAAAAUCGGUUCCGGUGAUUUGGACAUGUGCAAAGAAGGCCUACUGAUACUCCGGUUCGAAGAUGUGACUACGGGACAGAGUUUCAGGGCCGAAGGGGUAGAGGAAGACCUAGGAAAACUUUGGAAGAGACUUUAAGAAAAGACUUAGAGUACUUGGAUCUAACGGAGGACAUGACACAAAACCAAGCCCAAUGGCGUUCUAGGAUUCAUAUAGCCGACCCCACUUAGUGGGAAAAGGCUUUGUUGUUGUUGUUGUUGUUGUUGUUGUUAUAUUUUAUAUAAGUAAAAAAAUAAACAUUUGAUUUUAUAGUACUAUUUUCAAUCCGCCCUUGCCCCCAACGCUUCCACCCCAGAACCACCACCUCCUUCUUGCCUUCCUCCUCUCUCUACUCUCACUCCAAACCCCUCCUCCACCUCUCCAAAAUCUCCUGCCCCCACCGGCACCCAACCCAUUUUCCAGCUCGGCCAUGACCGCCUCUCCAAGGUCCCCAUUCCCACAUCAGAAACUUCUGCAUCAUCGCCCACAUCGACCAUGGCAAGUCGACUUUGGCCGAUAAGCUACUCGAAACCACCGGUACUGUGCAGAAGCGCGAGUUAUAUUGUUACCCCAUUUCCUUCUUUGACAUGAAUCAACCAACCCCUUUCAUUUGUAGUUUGUGCGAGAUGUUAGACUACGCUCUCGCUGAGGUCACGAAUCAAGUAGCCGCGAUCAGGGUUUAGAUGCAAAUUUAGACGGGGUAUUUGAGUGGUUUCUCAAAGGGAGGAAUAGAACCUGCCAUCGCUUACACUCCAUGACAGUAGAGGUGCUGGAGUCGAAAUCUGCCUGAUCUGCACUGGCCCUGUAGAGCUCUAGUUUAUUUGCCAGAUGCGAUCAUGUGACUUACUUCUUUUCUGUUCGGCCCCAUUUUUCUUGUAAGGUUUAAUUUCAAUAACACAAAACAAGGGGUUAUAGGGUUAGUCCAACUCAAAACUCCUCCAACACCAACAUUGUCUUUUUUUCUUAUACAGAUGCUGAAUUUCUUGAACUUUUUGCAUUGCGCAACUCGCUUGUCGACCAGUGCAUAAAACACCGCAUUUGCAAGCAUUUACAUUGCGGACUUCGCACUUAAGUAGUUUCUCUCUCUUUUUUUUUUUUUUUAUCAUCUAAAGGAGGGGAUUUGAACUUAAGAUCUCGCCUAAUUAAAGAGUUCGUUGGUCACACAAUCAGUUUAUAUAUCAAUAUUUGUAUUUUUCCUUUGUUGUAUAAUGAGUUGAGCUAUUCUAGGUUAUGCUAUAUAUAUGUACAACUUCAAAUAUUUAUUUGGAAAACUUCAAUUGUACGAGAUAAAUUUUAUUAAAUUUGAAACAAGAAGUUAUAUUUAGUCAGUGAUACAUAAAAUUUACACCUAAUAAUACAAGAAAAAAAGUAAGGUGAAAAAUACAAGAAAAGAGGGGAGACAUAAACUUACCCCUUUUAAGCAAACAAAUAAAAAUGCUAAAAAAGAGGGGGAUGUAAAGUCUAAGACCCUCUAUAAAAAUAUCUAGAAGGUCUAGACCAGCAAAACAAGUUGCAAAACAUCAAGUAAUAUGUUACCAAAAAAAAAAACAAACACACACACACAUCAUAAAAGAGGAAAAACAAGUUGCAAAGCACCAAAAGCAAUACGUACAACAAUAAUAUUUGGAUAGUUUGUUCCACUUAUAGAUGCCUAGAGACUAAAGUUAAAAAUCACACAUUUGCUUUAUAAUUAUAUGACAAAAUUGGAUCACUAAUUUCUAAACUUUAGUCGAACUUGAGCUUUAGUUCUUGAACUAAAAAUCCAUGAGUAUUGAAUAUGAAGAGAGGAUCAUCGCCAAAUCCCCUUUGUGGGGAUCCCGAAGAUCCUCAAAUUACAUUCGUUCAUUGUACAUCGUGCGGUCAGAAAUCAUUGUAAUUUUUUUUUAUCUAAAAUUGAAUAUAAACAGUACCUGAUUUAAACUGGCCGCAUGAUGUACGAUAAACAGAUGUGAUUGAAGAAUUUCAGAAUCAUCACAAAGAGAAUCCUGCGAGGAUCCUCUCUUUUGAAUAUGGACGGAUGCAAAACAUUGCAGCAGUAGUAUGUGCUGAUGGUAAAAAAGCAGUUGGAUAUAUACAUUUACUGUUCAAAAAGUGAUUAAGCACUAUACACUUAUUAGCCAAACCAUAUACAUAAUAUACAAUGAAGGUUAGAUGAUUUCUGAUCACAAUACAGUGUGAAAUUUUGACUGCAAACCGGCGAAGUAGGAAACAAGCAGCAUCAUUUUUUCUUCUUCUGAUAAGAUAGAAUUAAUGCAGCUGCAGGAACCUUUGACUGUUUUAUUUCUCUUUUUUUUGGGCCAUCUGAAGCCUUGACUUUGAAAAUGCGAAUUGCAAAGAAGUGUUUGCAAUACGAAAGAAGUUUAUAGCUUUUAGUCCUGAACCAAUCAGGAUACAAAUAUGGGGUCUUCCUGAAUGGAUUGACCUAUGACUGAUUUACUCAGGCCCUUUUCCACUGACUUCUUCCUUCAUUUGGAGAAGCCAUCAGGAAUGGAACCAGUGGAAAGUUGUAUGUAGAAAAGAAGUGCAAAAUAAGCAAACACGAAGACUUUGGAAGUGAAAGAUGCACCGAUUCACGCUCUUCCAGCCCAGCUGCUGUUUAUAGAGCUCAGUAAUAUUUCACGGAAUUUCUCUUUUGAAUUAUCAAACUCUUAGUUUGCAAUGCCGUGACAUGAGGAAAUUUUGCAUGUGCUGCAUAUGAGACAACAGUUGAAAGAAGUAGAUUUCUAGCUCACCCAAUUAAUACGUCCCCUCGAAUUAAACCGAACCCUAACUAACAACUACUAAAAGCUAAAAUGUACAUCUUUUGAGCCAAUUAUUGAGCUAGGGUUUUUUUUUAACUUUAAUUCUUUAAGAAGAUUGAAAUUUAAAAUAAACCUAAUGUUAGAUUACAUAUUGAUUAUAAUCCCUUGAUAUGUCCUUAAUCAAAAUAAUUAAUGUGCAUUUUAUUUAAUCUCCCAUUAAAUAUUUAAAUUUAUUAAUAUACAAAUUUUAAUUUAUUUUUUACCAAAAAAAGUUUUUUAAUUUAUUAAUUUUAUUCAACAUUUUUCAAACUUAAAAGACUCAAUUAAUGUACCUAAAUAUGUGGACCGAAAUGGAUUAUAUUGAACUAAUGUAUUUAAAUGUUAGUACCGAAAUAUAUGCACCGAAAUGUAUUAUAUUAAAUUAAUGUACCUAAAUAUGUAUACCGAAAUAUAUACACCGAAAUGUAUUAUAUUGAAUUAAUGUACCUAAAUAUUUGUAUCGAAAUAUUUUUACCUAAAUGUGUGUACCUAAAUGUAUGCACCGAAAUGUAUUAUAAUGAAUUUAAUGUACCUAAAUGAAGAAGACAAAGUACAUCAAAAUAUAUUGUAUAAUAAAAAUUAAUUUAUCUAAUUGUUUACAACAAAAUAUAUUACGAUAAAUGAAAUGAAAGUGAAAAUUAUAAGGAAAACUAAUGAAAAGGGCUUGAAAACUUUGAGUUUUAAUGAUAAGGACAAAAUAAAGGGUAAAGUGAAUAGUACCAGGAUUGACUUUUUAGUGUAAAAAUGUGGUUUUUCGUUAAAGCGAACAGUACCAGGUGUUUUUCGUUAAAGUUCCCAAAAUUAUAAUGAAAUAAAAUUAAUACAUUAAAAAUUAGGAAGAAAAAAAAGAAAUAAUUAAAAAAUCAAAAUAUAAUUAAUAAAUGAGGUUAUUAAUGUCUCAAGGAACUGAAAUUAGAUUUUGAAAAAAUUAGAUUUUGAUCUUACUCAUAGUUUUAAUCUAAAGAGUUCUUUAGAGAAAGACCCUUGAAACUUCUAUUUUUCAAACAAAAGCCCAACUAAUAUUAAACAUUCAAAUAAAACCCGAAUUUCGCAUAGACUUCCAUGUAGAUAAAUACAUAACCAAUUAUUACAACAUAUUUACAACUUAUGCCACAUAACCCUAAUUAUGUUAAUAAAUAUUAUUACUCAUCCUAAUUAUGGUUAGCAAUUAACCCCAUAUGGACAUUUUACCCUUUUUGUUUUAUAAAUAUUAUUAACAUAUAUAUAUAUAUAUAUUAAUUUACCCAUAUUCAUAAACAAUUAUAGGCACAUUUUUCGUAUGAAAAAAAAGAUCCUUUGUAUAAUCAGUUAUUUUGCAUCAAAUAAUAUUGUUUGAUAAAAAAAACAAGAAUCAAUUGAUAUUCUUUUAUUUUUUAGGUAAAUGAUUUUAAACAUAUUAUUUUGUAGGUAAAUUAUUUUACACAUAUUAUUGCAUACAUUAGCCAUUUUGAUUUGUUAUUAUAUAUGUGUGUCAGUUGACCCACUGGGAAGUUGCUCGUGAGUUUCCAGAAACAAAACUGUGAGGGCAUGAUCGGGGCCCAAAGUGGACAAUAUCGUGCUACGGUGGUGGAGCGGGCCCGGGAAGUGGUCCGCCCCGGGCCGGGAUGUGACAAAAAUAAUUAUCUAUUUUUAUAUGUAAAGUAUAAGUAAAUUAAUUUUUUUAUAAAGAAUUAAACAAUAGGUAAAUUAUAAGUACAUUAUUUACUUAUAAGAAUUGAACAAUAGGUUAAUUUACCUAUUGUAGGUACAUUAUGUUUCUAAAAAAAAGGAAAAUUGAAAUUCAUAAACAAAAAGUAGUAGAUAUAUUAUCUUUUCAAUCAAAUUACAUUCCUUUAUUUUGUAGGUAAAUUUUUUUUAAAGCAUUAUUACAUAUACCAAGCACAUUUUACUACUAAUAUAUAUCAGUUUUAGUAGGAAUUAUAUAUUGUAGGUACAUUAUGUUUGUACAAAGAAAAAACAAUAGGUAAAUUAAAAUUCAUAAACAAAAAGUAGUAGAUAUAUUAUUUUUUUAAUCAACUUACAUACCUUUAUUUUGUAGGUAAAUAAUUUUACAUGCAUUGUUACAUAUAUUGGGCACAUUUUAUUAAUAUAUAUGUGCAAUUAUAUUUUAUUAUAUCAAAUGUAGCUAAAUUAAUAUUGAAUCAAAUAACAUUUUUUUAUUUUGUAGGUAAAUUAUUUUUCAUGUAUUAUUACAUAUACUGCGAAUAUUUUAUUACUAACACAUAUGUCCAAAUAAUUUACCUAUGUUUUUAUGUAAAUUACUCCAUAGUUCCUUUUCGGUUUCCAUUUGGUAAGAAAAUGGCAAGAUUAAAUCAAAAUUGUCUAAUUUUAUGCAAAUGUGGAAAACAAUUACAAAAUGUAAAGGAAAGUAUAACAUUAAUAUUUAUUUAUUUAUUUUUGCCAGAAGCAUGAACAUUCAAGUAAAAAGACUAUGUUGGGUUUUAUGUAAAGAAACUUGAGUUUCAAGGGCUAAAAUCAUAUUUUCAGUAAUCUAAAAAUCAUCUUUGCUAAGAAUUAAAAUGAAGUUUCCCAUUGAGCUAGCCACAUACCUUACACAAAUGCUUAAAAACACCAAUGAAAACUUAAACAUGCAGUGUAUAUUUUCACCCACCAAGGCAAUGAACUUCCUCUCCCCAAAACUUCUUCCUUCAUCAUCUAAAUCUUCUCUCGAACUUAUAACGAUCGCCAUAGUCUUGUAUGCUGCUGCUGUAGAGCUAGCGAACAACGAAACGAUUCCGGCAGUGAUUGUUUUUGGAGAUUCAAUAGUGGAUCCGGGAAACAACAACAAUAUUGGCACGAUAGUCAAAUGCAAUUUCCCACCUUAUGGAAGGGACUUUGUAAGAAAAAGGCCUACCGGAAGGUUUAGCAAUGGCAGAGUCCCCUCAGACUGAAUAGGUAAUAUAACUAUUGUCGUUGUUGUUUCUUACUUUUUACUGGCUCUACUGGCUCAACCAACAACAACAACAACCAGCCGUAUCCCACUAAUGGGGUCGGUUGUAUGAAUCCUAAAAUGUCAUUGCGCACGGUUUUACGCUAAGUCUUCAGUUAGAUCCAAGUACUGGCUCAACAAAACUAUGAAAAUGAUUAACCCUUUACAAAUAUUUCAACUGAAUCAGUUGGAGUGAAGAAGAUUUUGCCAGCUUAUUUGGACUCAAAUCUGAAGAUUCAAGACCUACUUACUGGUGUAAGUUUUGCCUCAGGUGGCUCAGGAUAUGAUCCCCUCACUCCCAAAAUAGUGGUAAAUAAAUAUAACCCCAUUUUUUCUAUUUACUAUUUCAUCCUUUCUUUCUCUUAAUUUUGUUUCUAUCAGUCUGUCUUAUCUCUAUCGGAUCAACUGGAUUUGUUCAAAAAAUACAUAAGCAAGAUAAAUGCAGUCGUUGGGAAGGAGAGAACAGCGACUAUAGUAUCGAAAAUCAUUAUACAUUGUGUGCACAGGGAGUAACGACAUUCCGAAUACUUAUUUAUCUACACCACUAAGAAGAUCUCACUAUGACAUUCCAGCGUAUAUACCGAUCUCAUGGUUAAAUCGGCUUCAAGUUUCUUUCAGGUAAACAUUGAACAAUUGCAAUUCGUGAAUGUCAGCACUAGAAAAAUAAAUGGUUUGGUAGUCGUGCAUUACCACUUAUGUAGCCAUAAAGUACUAAAUUUCAGACCUAGCUAAACGUAGUCCAGUUUGUUAGAGCAAUGUGCUUCCCCCUUUUGCACCCAAGUUUGAAUCCCCGUCUCCGUAGUGUAGAUUAAACUAGAAUAUUGCUCAAACAAAAAUACAAAACUUUCAUCAGAACUAGCCACCUCAGAAGAGUAACAAUUGUCAAUAUGCCGCAUAUUUCGGUAUCCCAAGUUCCAUAGAUGAGCUCAUACAUGCGUAUCUUUUUCAUUCUUGAUUCUUGGGUGCCAAGUAAUUGGGAUUGUAUGAAUAAGCUGCUCUAAGUAGUAGCAUAGAUGGUUAAAGCGUGACACACUACGUCGUACUUUGCUAUUUUUUAAUGUGGGGAAAAAAUGGAACUGCAGGAACUAUAUGGACUCGGAGCAAGAAGAAUUGGAGUUGUAAGUCUGCCAGCCAUCGGGUGUGUACCGUCACAGAGAACACUGAGUGGAGGCUUAGACAGAGGGUGCUCGGAGACUGCCAACCAAGCAGCAAGUCUCUUCAACUCCAAGCUCUCCGCCCAAAUAGAUGCCUUCAAUAGGAGGCUGCCAGAAGCAAGGCUUGUCUACCUCGAUAUCUAUAACACAUUGCUUUCCCUCAUCCAAAACCCUACUCAAUAUGGUAAAUCACCAUCUUGGUUAAUUUCGGAAAUAGUAAUUUGCAAAAAUACGUCAAUUUCUCAUAUAUGAGUUACCAACAAUGUUCUCUUACCACGCAAAGAUUUAAGUUGUCAUACUAUGAAUCUAAGACCAAACAUUUUGAAUGUGAACCAAACAAGAACGAUAGUCUAAAAUUCACUUUUUACGUCAUCGUCAUAGUCUCGGGAAAAAAGAAAUUCCACAAUGCAUAUUGACCAUAUGGUUGGUACAAUGAUUUUCUAUAUGGUUUCAGGAUUUGAAGUGAUCAAUCGAGGAUGUUGUGGGACGGGAAACUUUGAGGUUAGCAUUCUGUGUACACGUUAUUCUCCGGGAACCUGCAAUGAUUCGUCGAAAUACAUAUUCUGGGACAGCUACCAUCCUUCAGAGAAAGGAUAUGAAGUCAUCACCUCUCUGGUUUUCGAUUCGCAAGUUCAUAAGUUCUUCUGAAGCCUCUCUCUCUCUCAAGUAUUGGCAAUCAAUAAAUUUCCAAGCCCGUUUUGAUGUAUUUCUCUUUCAGAAGUUUGAGCCUCAAAUUGUUAGAAAUUGAUGUCUGUCACCUUUUGACUCUUGUUACGCUUUUGUAUUUUUUGUUUUUUUAAAUGGACAACUAGUGGCUAAUAACGGUUAUCCAUUCUUUCUGGGUCCGGAGAGUUUAUGAGGAUUUCACCCCAUUGAAAAAUCAAUGUGACGUGAAAUUAACUAAUUAUACUUCAUCCUAAAUAAAGUAUAUACAUGAUGUCUUCAUAUCGGUUGUUUUAGAUAGAAAUGAUGAAAAUUUGCUCAAAAACGUGAAAAUUUAGAAUGAAACAUUGGGGAUGUCAAACACUGAUUUAAACGAAAUAUGAAAGUUUCUCCAACGUUUAACUGAUAUAUCAAAAAUAUAGAAGAAAUAUGUCAAUUUUAACCAAAAUUUAAGCGUUUUUCCAACACGGGUGAAGUCUAAACCAAAUGCCAUAAUACAAUUUUUUCAAGCUUUCAGCCAAUUGUAUUAUGACACUUAUUGUACCGGGCCAUAAACCAAGCUAGAGGUGGCAUAUCAAUCCAUUGUGUUAUUAAUGCAUAUCCAUCAAGACUCAUUUAGUUUAUUUCACCUUACACCUUUAUCAUCACCAGUGAAGAAAAUAUCGAUAAUAUCGGCGAAAUAUCGCCGAUAUUAUCGUUUUUUUGGGACCCCGAUAUUUUAUUAACUAUCCAACUUGUUUUCGGCAGAAUAUCGCGAUAUUAUCGAUAAUAUCGCGAUAUUUUCGAAACUAUCACGAUAUUUGGUAUGGACUCAUCGGAGAACACAGCCGGAGCAAAUAAUCCGAACCCCUAAAUCCCCAAAUUCUAAUUCAAAACAAAUGAACUGAAUCUACAAUACAGGAUUCCCUAAAAUCGAUUUCAGUACAAAAAUCAACAUGCAGAAAAAUCGCAAUCUGUACAAAAAUUGUAAUUUACAAGCCGAGAAGAACGAUUUCAGUACAAAAAUCAAAGCAAAUGAACCGAAUUCAUAAAUCCCCAAAUUCAAAUUCAAAGCAAAUGAACUGAAUCCCUAAUUCCUAAAUCCCUAAAAUCGAUUUCAGUACAAAAAUCAAGCAACAUGCAGAAAAAUCGCAAUCUGUACAAAAAUAGAAACCCUAAUUCCUAAAUCCCUAAAAUCAAUUUCAGUACAACAAAGGUGCAACAUGCAGAAAAAUUGAAAUCUGUACAAAAAUUUAAAGUAAAAGCCGAGAAGAAGAGAAGUAGGAGCCUGGGAACAUCGUCUUCCUCACGAAUCCAAGACGGCUGGGACAACGUCGUGCUCCUCAGUGGUGUCGACGGCUGGGACUACGAUGAUUUCCGGUCGAUCUCCAUGGAUCAAGGUGGUUUAGAAGGCGGUUAUCGAGUGGUGUCGACGGCUGGGUUUAGGGCGGGUGAGAUGGGAGAAGCAGAGGGAGACAGGGAGACACGGAGACACGGACGAGGAGGAUCGAGAUUCGAGAGAUGAUGUCUCUGUGUGUGUGUGGAAGAACUGGAGAAGGGGGAAGGGAGGGAGAAGACUGAGAAGUUCUCAGUGAGAACGAAGGCUCAGACCUCAAAGAGAGAGAAGAGAGAAGAGAGAGAUUGAGAGGAUUCGAGAAUAUGGUAGUGGGAAAUGAAUGAUCGAGAGAGAGACUGAGCUCCGUGUGUGGUGUACGUGUGUGGAGUGCGUGUGUGGUGUGGUGUGGGGGGUCUCGAAGUGUGUGUGUGGUGGAGUGUGAGUUCUUCAGUCUUUUUGACUGUCUGAGUGGUGGCGUGUAAGAAAAAAAAAAGCAUCCAAUGCUCCAAAUUAUUCAAAACCAAAUCAUUCCAAACCUAUGUCUAGCUCUCUGAUCCAAUGAUCCAAAGAACUUUUUGCAAUUUCAGAACAUGGACAACAAAUAAUACUGCUUUCAUAAUGAAAUCGUGUGACAGUCAGUAAGAGUCUUUCACAUGCAAAACAGUGUCAAUGUCUGUUAUAUACUUACAUUCUUUCAUCCAGUGGAGUAUCAGAGGCAUUCACAGAAUUUUCGUUUCUUCUUCUUCCCAUACCAUUUUCAAAACCAUUCCAGAUCCUUUCCAAAGCCAAGCAACACAAAGGCUUCCAUAUUUAAGGUAAGUUUACAAACUUAAAUUUAUAUUAUUGUAAUUUAUACAACAACAAAUAAAUUUGUGUGGACUCGUAUGUUAAUUUUUUUAAGUAAUUAAUACUUGCAUGUUAAUUUUUGUAAGUAAUUAAGUAAUGUUAACAAUUACAUGUUAAUUUUUUUAAGUAAUUAAGUAAUGUUGUAUAAUUAUUCCCUAGGAUAAUUUUAAUAUGUUUAAUGUUAUUUAUUAUUUUAUUUUCCUUACCAUUUUCAAAGUCAUUCCAGAUCCAUUCCAAAGCUUGAACACAAAGGCUUCCAUAUUUAAGGUAAGUUUACAAACUUAAAUUUAUAUUAUUGUAAUUUAUACAACAACAAAUAAAUUUGUGUGGACUCGUAUGUUAAUCUUUUUAAGUAAUUAAUACUUGCAUGUUAAUUUUUGUAAGUAAUUAAGUAAUGUUAAUGUUAAUUGUUUUAAGUAAUUAAGUAAUGUUGUAUAAUUAUUCCCUAGGAUAAUUUUAACAUGUUUAAUAUUAUUUAUUAUUUUAUUUCCCUUACCAUCUUCAUUAUCAAAUUGGAUUAUUAUUCAUUAAUAUUAGGUUUUUUUAUUAUCAAAUUGGAUUAUUAUUCUUUAAUAUUAGAUUUUUUUAUUAUCAAAUUGGAUUAUUAUUCAUUAAUAUUAGGUUUUUUUAUUAUCAAAUUGGAUUAUUAUUCUUUUAUAUUAGGAAAUUUUUUUAUCAAAUUGGUGGAUUAUUCAUUAAAUUGGAUUAUUAUUAUCAAAUUGGAUUAUUAUUCAUCACCAUGUUUUAUAUUAGGAUUAUUUUUUUUUCAAAUUGGUGGAUUAUUCAUUAAAUUGGAUUAUUAUCAAAUUGGAUUAUUAUUAUCAAAUUGGAUUAUUAUUCAUCACAAUGUUUUAUAUUAGGAUUAUUUUUUUUAUCAAAGUUGGUGGAUUAUUCAUUAAAUUGGAUUAUUAUCAAAUUGGAUCAUUAUUCAUUGGAUAUAUUCAUCACCAUUGUUUAUAUUAGGAUUAUUUUUUUAUCAAAUUGGUGGAUUAUUCAUUAAAUUGGAUUAUUAUCAAAUUGGAUUAUUAUUCAUCACCAUGUUUUAUUUUAGGAUUAUUUUUUUUAUCAAAUUGGUGGAUUAUUCAUUAUAUUGGAUUAUUAUCAAAUUGGAUUAUUAUUCAUCACCAUGUUUUAUAUUAGGAUUAUUUUUUUUAUCAAAUUGGUGGAUUAUUCAUUAAAUUGGAUUAUUAUCAAAUUGGAUUAUUUAUUAAUCAAAUUGGAUUAUUAUUCAUCACCAUGUUUUAUAUUAGGAUUAUUUUUUUUAUCAAAUUGGUGGAUUAUUCAUUAAAAUUGGAUUAUUAUCAAAUUGGAUUAUUAUUCAUCACCAUGUUUUAUUUUAGGAUUAUUUUUUUUUUAUCAAAUUGGUGGAUUAUUUCAUUAUAUUGGAUUAUUAUCAAAUUGGAUUAUUAUUAUCAAAUUGGAUUAUUAUUAUCAUCACCAUGUUUUAUAUUAGGAUUAUUUUUUUAUCAAAUUGGUGGAUUAUUCAUUAAAUUGGAUUAUUAUCAAAUUGGAUUAUUAUUAUCAUCACCAUGUUUUAUAUUAGGAUUAUUUUUUUAUCAAAUUGGUGGAUUAUUCAUUAAAUUGGAUUAUUAUCAAAUUGGAUUAUUAUUCAUUAAAUUGGAUUAUUAUUCAUCACCAUGUUUUAUAUUAGGAUUUUUUUUUUAUCAAAUUGGAUUAUUAUUCAUUAAAUUGAAUUAUUAUCAAAUUGGAUUAUUAUUCAUUAAUAUUAGGUUUUAUUAUUCCAUAUUAUUUGUAUAAUUACUUAAAUUUUUACAAUCAUUUUCUUUACUUUGUAUUUAAUUCUUCUGUAGAAUAACUUUAUUAUUUAGGUUCUCUUAUUUUUAUCAAAAAAUAAUUGUCUAAUUUUCAUGAAAAAUAAAUAUAGGUACGUUUAAGAUGUCCAGUAAACGUGAUCCAGCUUGGGAACAUGGAGACCCAAUAGACGGAAACAAACAUGGCACAAUUUGCAAAUAUUGUGGUCGGGUAAUGAAGAGUGGCGGAGUGACACGACUGAAGUAUCAUCUUAGUGGAUUAGAUCCAUCAAAAUAUGUCCAACGAUGCGAUAAUGUCCCCCCAGAAGUGAAGGCAUUCAUCAGCACAUUAUUAAAAAAUAAAAAACAGCAGAAGUAAAAGAUAACACAGGGAAUGGAAAAUAUUCAAGCUGGGCUACGGGGAGAAGUCUAUGGCCAAGCGGUUGACAGUGAUGAUGAUGACGAUGAGGACGAAUGUGAUGAUGACAUGGGACCUGAAGAACGACGCAGUUGAAACAAGCAUUACGUGCCUUCAAACAGUCAGCAUGGGAAAGAGAACACCUUCAUAAAAUUCCUAAUAGGGGACAAGGUUCCAGGACAAGUGGUGGUGCACAAAUGAGACGGGGAGGCAGUCUUAGAGAAUCACAACCAACACCACCAAUAGCCCCAAGUUUAUAUAAGUCAUCCAACGCACGUCAAAAGAGUGUUUGGAGUUAUUUCAAGGGAGGUAAUGUGAAGGAGGGAAUGAGGCGUCUAAUUAGCAAGUUCUUUAUCUAUGAAAAUGUCCCUGCUGCGAAGGCAUCAUCACAUCAUUUCAAAAAUAUGGUAGUGGGAUGUCAACAGGCCGGUGUUGGAGUACAACCUCCCACUCCCUAUGAGAUAAGAAACAAAUAUUUGGAUAUGGAGUAUAAAGACAUUGGCGAGUAUGUUAACAAGUUGAGGUCAAAGUGGGAAACUAAUGGUUGCACAAUCAUGUGUGUGACAGAUGGACCGGCCCGACCAGAUUAUCUAUCAUCAACUUCAUGGUAUACUCCAAGGGAAAGACAAUUUUUUUGAAGUCUGUUGAUGCUUCAGACCAUAUAAAGAAUUACAAGUAUAUUUACAAAUUAUUGAGGGAUGUAAUCAUGGAGGUGGGAGAGCAUAAUGUUGUCCAAGUCGUGACCGACAACGGUUCUGCAUUUGUCAAAGCUGGAAAAAAGUUAAUGAAGCAUCAUAAUGUGUUUUGGACAUCAUGUGCAGCACAUUGUAUUGAUCUUAUGUUUGAGGCAAUGGGGAAGAGAGAGAAUGUUGCUACUGUGGUCAAAAGAGCUAGAACGAUCACAAAUUAUAUUUACAAUCACGGUUGGUUGUUGGCAAAGAUGAGUGAAUUUUGCAGAGGAGAAAUUAUUCGUCCAGCUACCACUCGAUUCGCCACCAACUAUAUUGCAUUAAACAGCCUACUCAAGAAGAAAGCAGGGUUGAAGCAACUAUUCACUAGUGACGAUUGGGCCAACCACAAUUUCAGCCGCUCAAAUACAGGUCGUAUGGUGGAAAGUAUAGUGCUUGAUCAUGCUUUUUGGAGUCAAACAGAACAUGUGUGUCAAGUGUUUGAACCUCUUUACAAAGUUUUACGGAUCGUUGACACAGAAGUGUAUCCUACUAUGGGGGCAGUAUAUGAGUUGAUGCGUGUAGUGAAGGAUGAAUUGGAAAGAAAACAUGGUGCAAGGUGGGUCGUAAAAAUAAUUGAAGACCGAUGGUAUAAAAACAUUAUACCACGAUUUGCAUGCAGCAGCAGGUAUAAAUUAUGUCAUAAUUUGCAAUUCAUUUCUUUAGUUGCAUAAGUAUUAUUUAUCUUAUUAGAGUAUGUGUUUCUUUGAACAGCAUAUUAUUUGAAUCCCCGAUACCAAUACAGACCCGGUGUUGGAGAUGAUGGUAACCUUAUACGUGCUGUACAUAAUGUAUACUCUAAAUUAGACCAUGCAUUACCAGCAGUUGGCCAAUUUGGAAAUGAGGUACACAAUUACUUAAAUUAUAAUAAUUACUUUGUUGGAUUAAACUAACACAAUUUAUUGUAUUCAGCUAACAUUGUUUAAAGAUGCAAGAAGAAUAUUUGGAGAACCAACAUCAGUUGCUGCUCGAACAAAUAUGUCUCCUAGUGAGUAUAAACAUAUUUCACUAUAAGUUUAUAAUAGAAUUUGUUGGAGUUAUUAGGCUUAUCAACAUUAUUUUUCAUUGUAGCUGAAUGGUGGAUCAUGUAUGGGACCGAUGCACCAACUGUGAGAAAGUUAGCAAUAAAAGUAUUAUCACAAACAGCUUCCUCAUCUGCUUGUGAAAGAAAUUGGAGCACAUUUGCACUCAUACACACAAAGCAAAGAAAUAAGUUGGCUCAUAGUAGCUUGGAAAAAUUAGUUUAUUGCUACUACAACAUGAAGCUUCAAAUUCGAGAUAAGGAAGCAGAAAUCGAUCAUGUCGACCGUGGUGACCCACUAGAUGUGUUUGAUAUUGUUGGUGAAGAUGAUGAUACGGAGGGUAACCAACUUUUUCAAUGGAUUAGACCUCUUCAUUUAGAUGAUGAUGAAGGCAACCCAGCUCCCAGAGUUGCUGAAGAAGCACGUAAUGAAGGGAUAAAUGUAGAAAGAGUAUUAGAGGAGGAGGUGGGAUCUAGCAGCGCUGACUCUUUCGAAGAACUUUUGCACCCAAGACCAAGCAACACUGGAAUUCCACCUUUUUCCAAUCCUACACAACCACAACAUCGUGCUGAUACUAAUGAUAGCUCUAGUACAAGAUCAGGAAACUCACCUACCACCGGAGGUGGGAAUGAUGAAGGACAUAGUGGAGCUGGAGGUAGUGGUGGUGGAUAUGGAAACUAUUAUGGACCACCACCUCCCGGAUAUAUGAGCCCCUUCACUGGUGAGGCAAACUUCACGCAUGCAACACAGGAUGAUGACCAUGGCAGUAGGCGGGCAGGACCAGGAAUUGGUGCCAUAGGGAAGGACUAUACUCGCAGAGAAAGAGGCAAAGGGAUUUUGUCAAGUCAAGAAGAUGACUCGUUAUCUAGAACUUCAGACUCUGUUGGAUUGGGAAGUAGUAACUAUGGUUAUACUCAUAACCAACCAUUUCCCUACCCUUCAUAUCUCAUUCCUGUUGGGAUGAAAUCGAGCGACUCAUGGAAACAAUCCCAGCCUCAAUCUUCAAAUGAUUUUUCUUAUGGACAACCUCAACCAAUCUCGGAUCCAUAUGGGUGGCAUAUUAACAAUUACAUGCAAAACUAUUUUGGGGAUUUAUCAUUUGAUAACUACUCUUCACAAUACACUCAUUCUACACAUAGAGAUGAUGAAGAUAGUGACAAAUUUGAACCUCAUAGGAACUCUAUGUGGUACUAAAGUGUAAAAUAUUGUACUAAUUCAUUAUAUAUAAAUGAUUAUGGUGUGUUUAGACUUCUUUCAUUAAUUACUACAUAUUUUCUACACUCAUAAUGUUUGUCAGAUCGCUAUAUAAUCAACUUGAUAAUGUUAAAUCCAUCAUGCAAUGCAUUUCCUUCCAAUUUUUUGUGAUAAACUAAUAGAUAAUUGACUAAAUAAACAUCCUACAAAGUUUCAAUAAAAAUUUCCAAGUUUUUCUUACAAUUUCCGUAGUUUCCAUGUAAUUUUUAUCGAUAUCGAUAUUUUACCGAUAUUUCCAUCGAUAUUUCCGUGUUUUCGGACUACCGAUAUUUCCGAUAUCACCGAUAUUUUCUUCCUUGAUCAUCACUACCAAUCUCAUCUCGAUAUUAUACUGAUAUCAAAUCAACUGGGUUUUAAUGUGUACACUAACAACCAAUGGGUUGAUUUAUCACCUUUAUUCCCAACACAAUGAAAAUUUUCUUGUGUCCGUGAUGGCUUUAUAUUAGUCGUGACUUCUUUUUUAGCUUGAUAACCAUGUCCAAGUUGAGAACAUUGUCCAAAGUUUACAAGGCGUUACUAAAUUUUACCCUUUAAUUUUUGGCUUAUUAGUCGAAAUGCCCCAUGAAGCUGUCAUUGAGUCUCAUUUUACCCCCAUGAAACUAGUUUUAUCUCACUUUGCUCCUUGAAACUGACAUUUUCAACUCUUAUCUUACUUUACCCACUUCCGUCAAUGGAUUGUUACAUUUAAGGGUAUUUUAAACAUUUCAGUUUUUGCACAUUUAUUUACCUCUAACCCACACUAAACAAGUCUCAACUUUAUUUUUGACAACUCUGAUUCAAAUGCAUAAAUUUUGGACAUUUUAAAAAUAAAUUAUUCAAUCAAUAAAAAAAAUUCAAGCAACAAAAUCAUUGUAUCAACCAAAAUAAAUGUUACAUUUGUUCGUGGAGUCAUUUCACUUGCAAGACAUUCAUGUAUUGGCUCGAAACUUUGCAAUUGAAAAACAUUCAUUACAAUAAAAUCAUUAUACCAUUACGCUAUCCUAUCCAAAUUAAAUACUUCCCAAACCAAAAAAAACAUUUAAAGCAAAUGUGCACAAUUUGAACAAGCUCAUGCCUAGUGAAAUCAGUGCUCAAGAAUGUGAAAUUUUUUGUUUCAAACUGCACAUUUGCUUUAAAUGAUUUUUUUUUUUGUUCGGGAAGUAUUUUGGGCAGGAUAGCUUCAUGGUAUAAUGAUUUUGUUGUAAUGAAUGUUUUCAAUUGCAAAGUUUCGAACCAAUACAUGGAUGUCUUGCAAGUGAAAAGACUCUACGAACAAAUGUAAACCUUACUUUGGUUGAUACAAUGAUUUUGUUGCUUGAAAUUUUUCUAUUGAUUGAAUAAUUUAUUUUCAAAAAUACCCAAAAUUGAUGCAUUUGAAUUAGAUUUGUUAAAAAUAAAAUUGAGACUUGUCUUGUGAAAUCUCAUCCUGGAAUUUCACCAUUUAUUACGUAUCUCGUAUUUUAAAUUCAUAUUUUGCGAUUACGUUAUCUUUAUUAGUUAAUUUUAAUUCUGCUAAUUAUAAGUUUAGUAAUUGAUUAGUUAUCAAGUUGAAAGUUUCAUAAUCAAUCUUUAUCUUUCGUUGACAUUUCGAAGUUACAACUAGUGUUUUUAAAUAGAUCUUGAACCCAUGAACGCAUAGGCGAAAGCCGUUUGCGAGUCCGAAUUAUAACGGUAUAAUUACUGACGUUUGAAAUUGUGAACUAUAGAUUGUGGGAAUUGACACGCCCUGAUCCCGAUGUCCUCGGGACAUUGGGAUGGUCACGUGCUAGCCGACACCCAAAGGGUGACGAAAGCCAUUUGAUUUAAGCAAAAGCUGAGAAAUAUACUAAAACAGGCAAUCGGGACUAAUAACACCAAAGUAAAGUUCAACUACUAAAAUAAUAAAAUUAUGGUCAUACACAUAAGUUCAGAGCAUACGUCUAUUACAGAGUACAAACAGAAUUUAAGAUAGAGAAGUGCUAUAUUACAAUAGGUGUCGAAGCAAAAAAGAUAUAACACUAAACCACUGGUAGGGAAAUGCCUCGUAGCUCAGAUCAUAAUCCUCGUUCAUAGGUCCUGAAGGAGGCGCAAAACAAACUGAGUGGACCAAUUUGAUAUAAAUAUAAUAAAACAGUUAUCAACAUACUAACCUCAGGUUUAUGAAAACACAUAAAUAAUGAAAAACAUAGGUUUUCCGAAACCUAGAAUGCCGUGCAAUGUCUCAAAUUCAUAACUUGUAUAUAUAAUAAACACUAGUGAUUUGUCCGAUAACCCCAAGCCCCAUGCCGACUCCUCGUCUCUGAGCAGACAGUCAGAGGAAAAUACACUUCAGGCCUCAUGCUGGCUCCUCAUCCAUGUGCUAAAUAGCCAGAGGAAAUACACUCCAGGCCCUAUGCCAACACCAAACCGUCGCCCGGGACGGGCCCGAAACUAUCCCUACAUCCCGUAGCGGAAAUGACCACUAGGUAAGUACAAAACCACUGAACAUAUAAAUAUUGAAAAACAACUUCAUAGUAUAAAGUCAUCUAUCAUCUAUACUAUAAAGAGGUGUUCUAAACAUAUUCUAAAUAUCAUAUCAUCAUCCAUCAGAUAUUCUAUAAAAACAUGGGUUAUAUGAAAAAUAGUUGUAAUUCAAUCUAACCUUCGUAAGCAUGUUAUCUCACAAAACAUUUUAUAAAACAUAAUCAUUAAGUCAUGCUUUUCAUGUAUGAAUUUCUACUAUUAAAACAUGUUUUUGAAGGGGUCCACUCACCAUACACCAAUAGUGCAAAGCUGUACCAAAAAGGAAUAACGGAAUCACCGUUAAUAAUUGCACAUAUUCACAUAAAGGAGUACCUUUAGUCAAACUAUAUUCAAACGAUUGAAUUUAAAAAAACGGACUUCAAAAUGGGUCCAGGAUGUCAAAAUUAGGCUAGAAUAGGUCCUAGACGAAACUCUGAAAAGUUAACUCAAAAAUUCAACAUUGACCAUUGACCGAUCAAAGUCAAAGUCAGCACUGAGUCAAAUGGGUCAAAGGUCAGACUGGGCUUGGAUUUGGAUUUAGGGCUUUAGGGUUGGGCCGAUUGGGCCCUAAGGGUUUGGGUUUAGAUUUAAGGUUAAUGGGUUUGGAAAAAGGGCUGAAAGCCCAGGCUUUAAUUGGCCCAAAGGCCUUGAAUAUAGGGGUCUUAAACACACGGGCCUAAAGACCUAAUUAAAAUGGCCCAAGAGCCUUAAUUCUUAAAACUAUAAAUAAAUAAAACCUAAAAAAAGUUUUGGGUUGGUCUAAUGGGCUACAGGCCCUAAACAAAACGGCCCGAUAACCUUUUUGGGUUAUUAAAACAAUUUAAAUAAAAUUAAAAAGGAAAUGGGUUAGGGUUUUGGGCUGAGCUCACCACGGGCCUAAGGCUCGAGUGCCUUAGAAUCGGCCUGAAAGGCCUGGGUGUACCAGAGAAGAACGUCGGAGCUUCUACAGCUCCGGCCGACUGCAAACUACAACCCUAGCCUCCGAUCUAGGUACCAAAACGAAGCACAAGAUGAGACGAACAACUUUAUACCUUCCUUUUUGUCGUAGAAUGGCCGAAGAUGCACCGAAAUUCCCUCGACACCCACUAGUUCGCCGAAGAUGGGUGUGCCUUCACCCGAGUCGAUCUCGUCCUAAGACCUUGAUAAAAACAAAAUAAAACUCAUUAAAUUCCUUCCAAGCUUCACACGGAACGAAAAGGAAGUCAAAUCCGAACUUACCUCACCGGAAAAACAAAGGAAACUCGCCGGAGAGUUCAUGGGUUUCGUCCUCGCAGCACAGGAAAAAGAGAGAAUGAAGGACGAAGGAAUGAUGAUGGUGGUCUUCCUCGCAGGUGAUGCAGUUGGGGGGGGUAUGUGUGUGUGUGUGUGUCUCGGUGAAGAGAGAGAGAGAGAGAUGAGGGUAUUAAGAGGGAAAUGAAGGAAAGACAGAAAGAAGAAGAGGGUGAAGUCACGGGGGGGGGACAGAGAGAGAAAUGUGAGGAUGUUUGGGGUACUGCCACGUGGCAGCUUGAGGAUAAACUUGAUUGGGUAGUAACUUUAGGACUAAAUUGAUAAAUUCAUAAUAUUUUGGGGAUAAUUACAUAAUUAUAUUUUUAUAAAUGUGGGUGGGUGUAAUAGGAAUUGUUUAAUUUCCACAUGUGGGCUAAAGGUUAAGUUAGUCUAAUAAAAAGGGGGACCAAUCAGAUUUUUUUAAGGGUAGAAAUGACCAAUUAAAGGGAGAGAAGCUGAAAUUCUCCCUCCCCCAUUUGUGAACCCGUGUGCUCCACCAGCCCACUUUCAAACUGGCCAAUUUCAGAUCAAUUCCUCCAUUUCUCAGCUGAUUUUCCUAUCUCCUUCACCUGCAACUUGCUCAACUAUCUUCUUCCUUCCAUCUCCACCAAAAAUAAAGGAUUUUCAAGGUCUAAUUUGGGUAUAACUCCACCGGAUAACCCAGGGGUUUUCGAUGGCGAUUCGUCGUUCUGGUGAGUAUCACCAUUCAUCAUCACCCUUAAUCAACUUCCCUUGGACCCAGGAACAAGACCAAAUUGGUGGUUGGAGCGUAGGAACACCAAGGAAGCCAAAUUGAAGAACACCCACCUUAGAGUUUCGAAGGGUGCGAGCCAAUUUGAGGGCCUUCUCGACCAAAUUGGACUCUUCCAUAGGUAUAAAGUUUACUCUACUUGUUGAGAUCUUCAUCCUUGUAAAAAUUGAGAAUUUUUUGGAAAAGUCGAAUUUUUCGAUAUGUGACAUUUGAUUUAUGAAAUGAUGUUGGUUGAGUAUAUUUUCGAUAAGGUCCGCCACUUGAAUAUUCUAACAAUUGACGAUCUUACCAUUGAAUUGACACCAAAUUUUAGUAUGCUAUUGAAGAUAUUGUUAAGGACCUUAGGGACUUACUAGUGAAAAUCUAAUGGUUGGAUAUUACGGAGCAAGUGAUGUAAGAUCAUGGACCAUACCUUUGAUCGACGGUUUGAUUUUCAUUAAACGUCGUUGUGGGAGAGUUAUGAGAGUUUUGGGUAUGUGAAUUUAUCGAGAGAAACCUAAAUGUGGACUUGUGCUUUGUUUUAGGCGGUGAUAGAGCUUGAUGCCUUGAAUUUCAUGCUAGAGUGCGUUAAUGUAGACCUCAGGUGAGUGAUUUUAAUCUAUGUGAUAUAGUUAUUGCUUUGAAAUCUUCGGUGCUAAUAUACUUUGUGGUUACACCAUGGAUUCUUAAAAUAGGUCUUAUGCUAAAUAAUUGUUGUUAUAAAGUUGCCAUCACUCUACUUAUGAAACAUUAUGUGACUUGGAUAUUUGAACUGUUGAUGGUUUGUGUUUUGAAAUAUAUAUUUGAUGGUUUGAUAAACAUGAGGGAUUGUAAGGGACCGUUACCCUAGUGUCAUGGGGUUAGGUGACACUAAGUCUGCACCACGUAGCAAUGGUACAUGGAUGGUCCUGCUUGGUUAAUCCGCGUUAAGGGACCAUACUAAUUGUGGAUCACGCUUGGUUAAUCUACGUUGGACGAUCCUUAUAUCCUAGGUAUGGCCAUACACAUUUAGGGGUGAUCAUGCUUGGUUAAUCCGCAUUGGGUGAUCAUUUCCUAAUAGUUGUAGGAGUGGCUUUGCUUGGUUAAUCCGCAUUGAGGGAUCAUUACCUACUUGGUUACGUUCUCAAUGGUGGCUCUGCUUGGUUAAUCCGCUUUGGGGGGCCACUUCCUAUUUGGUUACUUGGGUAGGCUUCGACUGAGCGACAUCUCUCUAGCUCUAGUUUUGAGUGUAUCCGUGAAUUUUGGUUUCGAGAACUUUGAGUUUUGAUUUAGAAUAGCCGUUGGAUGUCUGUGUGACUCAUUUGGAGUUUGCAAGGUUUGGUAUUGAUUUCUUAUGAAUGAUUUAUGUUCAAGAUUUAUAAAUUAUGACUGAUGGCUGGUUUUAUUAUUAGUAUCAUAUACUUUGCAUUAUUGCCGCUCACACAAGUUUUGUAGCUUAUCUGGGUUGUUUACCCAGUGCACCAUUCCAAUGGUGUAGGCACUGAUCUUUCAGGUAACAAGUCUGAGUAGCUUCGAGGAGUUCGUAGGUGGGGUAGCAGUUCAGUUAUCAGAGAUUUGGAGUGUUAGGUUACCCCUACAUCAUAUCUUGUACUUUAUCUUUUAGGACUUACUUUUGAGCACGUCGAACUUGUUCUUAGUAAAGCAAAGAUUAUGCUUCUUUUUAGGAUGUACAUAUUUGUAAAUGUCUUGUGAAGAACUUAACCACCUUCUUUUUAGUUUGGGUUGUAGCUAAAGUAUUUCAUUCCGUAUGGUAUGUCAUAUUCAACGAACGUUAUUUUUCCUUUGCCACGUGUUGAUUUUCGACGUAUGUUGGGAUCGGAGCGUGACAUGUCUAGUGGAAGGGCUAGAGGUAAAUAAAUGUGUAAAAUUGAAAUGUCUAAAAUACCCUUAAAUUUAACAGUCCAUUAACGAAAGUGUGUAAAGUAAGACAAAAGAGUUGAAAAUGUUAGUUUCAAUGGGCAAAGUGAGACAAAACCAGUUUCAAGGGGUAAACUGAGACUCAAUGGCAAUUUUAGAAAACAUUUCGACUACUAAGCCUUAAUUUUUUUAUUUAUUUUUCCCUAAAAAAAUUAAAAAGAAAAUAGUUUUUACAUGGGCCACACCAUUGGUCAAAAAAUCCAAUCCAAAACAAGCUCUUAGCCCAAGCCAUUCAUACAAUUCAAUCCAACGCCAUAGCUUUUCCGCCAUGGCUGCAGACCUCUCUGCUCAAACCUUCCUCCUAUCCACAACCACCACCACCCCCCAACGCUCCCACCCCAGAACUACCACCUCCUUCUUGCCUUCCUCCUCUCUCUACUCUCACUCCAAAACCCUCCUCCACCUCUCCAAAACCUCCCGCCCUCGCCGCCACAGCCUCCACCAAGUGAUCUGCCAGUCCACCGGCACCCAACCCAUUUCCCAGCUCGGCCAUGAUCGCCUCUCCAAGGUCCCCAUUUCCCACAUCAGGAACUUCUGUAUCAUCGCCCACAU
Molecule: long non-coding RNA, 27797 nt
Filed under: Malus domestica (apple)
Lineage: Eukaryota; Viridiplantae; Streptophyta; Magnoliopsida; Rosales; Rosaceae
Description: long non-coding RNA (MDOM_LNC001517)
Source: RNAcentral